AUUGAACGCUGGCGGCAGGCCUAACACAUGCAAGUCGAGCGGAUGAAGGGAGCUUGCUCCUGGAUUCAGCGGCGGACGGGUGAGUAAUGCCUAGGAAUCUGCCUGGUAGUGGGGGAUAACGUCCGGAAACGGGCGCUAAUACCGCAUACGUCCUGAGGGAGAAAUUGGGGGAUCUUCGGACCUCACGCUAUCAGAUGACCCUAGGUCGGAUUAGCUAGUUGGUGGGGUAAAGGCCUACCAAGGCGACGAUCCGUAACUGGUCUGAGAGGAUGAUCAGUCACACUGGAACUGAGACACGGUCCAGACUCCUACGGGAGGCAGCAGUGGGGAAUAUUGGACAAUGGGCGAAAGCCUGAUCCAGCCAUGCCGCGUGUGUGAAGAAGGUCUUCGGAUUGUAAAGCACUUUAAGUUGGGAGGAAGGGCAGUAAGUUAAUACCUUGCUGUUUUGACGUUACCAACAGAAUAAGCACCGGCUAACUUCGUG
RNAcentral lists this ribosomal RNA (484 nucleotides) under uncultured bacterium. RNAcentral describes it as "partial 16S ribosomal RNA". It matches the Rfam family "Bacterial small subunit ribosomal RNA", at positions 30 to 507 of the family's 1533-position model. The record is from RNAcentral.